GUGUCUGCGACCGAGGGAGCGCUCGGGGACAGCAGAAAGAUCCUUCGGGAGCAGAAGGCGGCCAGCGCUCCUCCGCUCCGUGGGACUGGUCAAGGAACAGCCAACUUCCUUCUAAGGAACUAAGAGGGCCUCAAUUUGGACAUCGGACUGGUUUCCUGCCUUUACUCAACGCUGUUCCUCAGCUGAGAAACCCUCACCUCCUGUUACAUACCUACUCAUGCCUCAAGGGCCAACUCAAAAGUCAACUCCUUGAAGUCGUUGCCAACCCCCCGAGUCAAGAUUGUAUCAUUACACUGUAUUAGAG
Molecule: long non-coding RNA, 304 nt
Filed under: Equus asinus (donkey)
Lineage: Eukaryota; Metazoa; Chordata; Mammalia; Perissodactyla; Equidae
Description: lncRNA (ENSEASG00005031418.1)
Source: RNAcentral